GUAGGUCAGCGCAGGGGUGACACGGAAUGGGAGCCGGCCGCGGAGGUGGUUUUCCGUGGUCAAGCACGCAGCCAGUCAUGUAGGCAAAUCCGCAUGGCGCGCAUGGCGAGGUGUGAUGAUGGGAGCCGUUAUGGCUCGAUAUCCGGUUGUCCAGGCCGUCGAGAAAAGCCUCGGCGUGAGGGCCAUGGCCGCCCGUACCCCAAACCGACACUGGUGGUCAGGUAGAGAAUACCAAGGCGAUCGAGCGAAUCCUGGUCAAGGAACUCGGCAAAUCACUCCCGUGCCUUCGGUAUAAGGGAGACCCGCUGGGGUGAACCGGCUAGCCCGGGGAGCUUUGGUGGGUGGCACAGACCAGGGGGUAGCGACUGUUUACCAAAAACACAGGUGCAUGCGAAGGCGAAAGCCGCUGUAUAUGCACUGACGCCUGCCCGGUGCCGGAAGGUUAAGAGGAUCCGUCAAUCCCUUCGGGGAUGAAGCGGUGAAUUCAAGCCCCGGUAAACGGCGGUGGUAACUAUAACCAUCCUAAGGUAGCGAAAUUCCUUGUCGGGUAAGUUCCGACCUGCACGAAUGGCGUAACGACUUCCCCACUGUCUCGACCAGGAGCUCGGCGAAAUUGCAGUACGAGUAAAGAUGCUCGUUAAGCGCAGAAGGACGAAAAGACCCCGGGACCUUUACUAUACCUUGGUAUUGGCGUUAGGCGCGGAUUGUGUAGCAUAGGCGGGAGGCUUCGAAGCGGGUGCGCCAGCAUUCGUGGAGCCGCAAGGUGAAAUACCGCUCUGUUCUCGUUUGACGUCUAACCUCGACAAGUCAUCCUUGUCAGGGACAGUGCCUGGCGGGUAGUUCAACUGGGGCGGUUGCCUCCCAAAGAGUAACGGAGGCGCUCAAAGGUCCGCUCAGCCCGGUUGGCAAUCGGGUGUCGAGUGUAAUCGCACAAGCGGGCUUGACUGCGAGGACGACGGUCCGAGCAGGGACGAAAGUCGGAGAUAGUGAUCCGGUGCCGGCGCACGGGCGCGGCAUCGCUCAACGGAUAAAAGGUACCCCGGGGAUAACAGGCUGAUCAUUCCCAAGAGUCCAUAUCGACGGGAUGGUUUGGCACCUCGAUGUCGGCUCGUCGCAUCCUGGGGCUGGAGCAGGUCCCAAGGGUUCGGCUGUUCGCCGAUUAAAGCGGCACGCGAGCUGGGUUCAGAACGUCGUGAGACAGUUUGGUCUCUAUCCUCUGCGCUCGUUGGAAUCCUGAGGAGGCCUGCCCAUAGUACGAGAGGACCUGGGUGGACGAACCUCUGGUAUGCCGGUUGUCGCGCCAGCGGCACGGCCGGUUGGCUACGUUCGGGAGGGAUAACCGCUGAAAGCAUCUAAGCGGGAAGCCUGCUCCAAGAUUAGGAUUCCAUGGAUCUUCGAGAUCCUGUAGCCCGCAUGUUGAACACGUGUUUGAUAGGCCGGAGGUGGAAGCCCCGUGAGGGGUGGAGCCGACCGGUACUAACGGGCGACGGCGACACAA
Molecule: ribosomal RNA, 1498 nt
Filed under: human gut metagenome
Description: bacterial LSU rRNA
Rfam family: Bacterial large subunit ribosomal RNA
Source: RNAcentral